This 5341-nucleotide long non-coding RNA is filed under the name Sus scrofa (pig). RNAcentral's name for it is "lncRNA (ENSSSCG00000054526.1)". Lineage: Eukaryota; Metazoa; Chordata; Mammalia; Artiodactyla; Suidae. The record is from RNAcentral.
CUGCAUUGUAUGGAUAUUCCAAAAUGUGUUUAUCCAUUUAACUCUUGAUGGAAAUUUGGAUUGUCUCCAGUGUUUGGCUGUUAUCAAUGAACAUAUGAACAUUUGUAUACAAAGCACUAUAUGGACAUAAAUUAUAUUUCUUUUGGAUAAAUACUUAGGAUAAGCAAAUGUAGAUCAUAUGGUAGUGGUAGGUUUAGCUUUUUAAGAAAAUACCAACUUCUCUUUUUUAAUGUGAAAGAUCUUCACUUUUAUUAAGCAAUGAAGACUAUAAACAUGGAAGCUCACCGACCCUUAUUUUCCAGCUUUAAGACUUCUCUUUUUAUUAGUUUAAAAUUAAAUUAGUUUUUAUUAGGGCAUAGUUGAUUUACAGUGUUCAGACAAUUUUCGCUGCACAGCAUGGUGACCUAGUCAUACAUAUAUACACAUUCUCUUUCUCAUAUUAUCUUCCAUUAUGGUCUAUCUCAAGAGACUGGAUGUAGUUCCUUGUGCUAUACGAUAAAACCUCAUUGCUUAUCCAUUCUAAACCUAAGAGUUUGCAUCUACCAACCUCAAACUCCCCAGCUAUCCACUUCUUCUGCCCUCCCCUUUGGCAACCACAAGUCUGUUCUCCAUGUCUGCGAGUCUGUUUCUAUUUUGUAGAUAGGUUCUUUUGUGUCAUAUUUUAGAUUCCACAUAUAAGUGAUAUUAUACUGUAUUUGUCUUUCUCUUUCUGACUCCUUUCACUUAGUAUUAGAGCUUCUAAUUACAACCAUGUUGCUGCAAAUGGCAUUAUUUAGUUCUUUUUUAUAGGUGAGUAGUAUUCCAUUGUGUAUAUGUACCACUUCUUCUUGAUCCAUUAAUUGGUUAAUGGACAUGUAGGUUGUUUCCUUGUCUUGGAUAUUGUGAAUAGAGCUGCUAUGAACACAGAGGUACAUCUAUCUUUUUCAAGGAAAGUUUUGUGUGGAUAUAUGCUCAGGAAAGGGAUUGCUAGAUCAUUUGGUAGUUCUAUAUUUAGUUUUCUGAGGUACUUCCAUACUGUUUUCCAUAGUGGCUGUGCCAAUUUACAUUCCCACCAACAGUGAAGGAGAGUUCCCUUUUCUGCACACCGUCUCCAGCAUUUUUUUAUUGUAGACUUAUUAAUGAUGGCCAUUCUGACUGGUGUGAGGUGGUACCUCACUAUAGUUUUAAUUUGCUUUUCUCUAAUAAUUAGUGAUAUUGAGCAUUUUUUCAUGUGCCUACUGGCCAUCUUUAUUUCUUUGGAAAAGUAUCUAUUUAGGCCUUCUUCCAAUUUUACUGUCAGAGAACAAACUGCAUUUGUAAAACUAUUCUCCCAUAUGCCUAGGAAAUAUUUUCCUAACAUACCUUGUAAGUCUUCAAAGAAGUCCUGACUUGAGUGCCCAUAACUAAUGUUGGAUCAGAGAGUCUUUACAGAACAGGGUUAACCAUAGCUUGGCCAUGUUCAUCAUUCUUCCCUUAGCUGAGUACACCUACAUGAAUCAACCAUCAAUUUACAGCACUUUGAAAGGUAUAAUCUCAAGAGAAAGAUGACGCAAGAAAUUGCGGUAAGGGCACUUUAAAAUGUGUUAAGGGAACAAAACUGACAUCUUAAUGCUUCCUGGUAAAAGUGACAUAAUUGUCCUUAGAAACAACUCGUUCCACAGACUUCCUAAAUUACUUUCAUUUUUAUUCAGUGUGCCAUGGCAUAGAUGUUCCUAUCUUUUACCAACCUUGUUAUUUCAACUCUUUAAUUCUACAACAUAUCUUACCUAUUUUUCUGCUAGCACGGUAACAAGAUAAAAAUAUAUAAUAACAAUUGUGAAACAUAAAAUUUAAGGGUUCUAUUAAAAAUAUUUAAACACUGGUAUGACAUGGAAACUCAUCAACCAGACCAGUUGCCUGCUACAAUGUUAUGCUCAUAUGUACUGAAGAAAUACUAGCCCUGUAAUAAAUGUUAUCAUAUGGUUAUAUUGUUUUUCAGGUUAUAAAACAUUUUCAAAUCAAGUAUCUUAUUUGAAUUUCAUAAAAGGUAGCUAGGCAUGAUUAUCCCCACUUCACAAAUAAAAGUGAUAAGAAAGAUAAAUUAUUUUUUUCCACUGUUUUUCAUAGCUAGUUAAUGGUAGCAAUGGGAAUUAAAAUCAGUUGUAACUCAUUAUCCAAAAAUUUUCCACCAUUCCCCAUAGUCUCUGGCUCUAAAAAACAAAAGAUCCUGUGGUCUCAUUCACACAUACCUAUGCAACGAAGACAAUACAUUUGGUGGAACAAAUAUAUAUUAACACAGGUGCUUCAGAUUCAGAAAAGAGAAGAGGAGGAGAGAAGGUGUAAAAAUUGAUCUUCCCCAAGUGGUGACAAUGAUUAAAUAUUUCUGUAAUGAAGGAGGCUCCAGAGCUCCUUGACCAAAUGCAUCUCUGACAUCCGCUCCCAACCUUGACACUCUACAGAGCCUUCAAAAUGUGAUUCUCAAAUCUGCUGUAUCAGCAUUACCUUGCCACACAUUAGAAAUGCACUGUCUCAGACCCCUGCCUCCUCCUCCCACUAAGACCUACUGAAUCUCAAUUUUUACAAUAUCCCAAGUAACUUAAAGUCUGAGAAGUACUCCUUUGGAUCAUGUAUCCUUACUCAGAUAAGAUGUGCAUCCUCUAAUAGGAUUUCAUGGUCAUUUUUCGUCACCACCACCCAUCUGAGAUUUUCUGCUUUAGUGCCUUAAAACUUAUGGGCUACACUAGAAAAAAACAAACAAAAAACCUGUAUAUUCAAACUAUCAGUUUCUCCAUCACAUGAUGAGUUGUGUGCUCCUUAUGAAAUCAGGCUCCUUCCUGAUGGAACAUGCUCCCCCUGCAGGCCUCUCAAGGGAAGGCUGUUUUUCCUUCUACAUCCUGCAUUGCACAGAGCCUGGAGGGGAGGCUGCCCAUUCUCCAUGUUGCUCACUUACUUCCUCCUUUCUCCUUCAAAAACCCUGCCAUUUUGGAAGCAUACGCCAUCAAGUACUACGAUCAGUUAUCUUGACUUCUUGUAGUCACAUGCCACUCUCAUUAGCUUCUUAAUCACUGAAGACCUAAUCUCAAAUUCAAGGUCUUGGAGUUCCCGCUGUGGCACAACACAAUUGGCAGCAUCUUGAGAGCAGUGGGAUGCAGGUUUGAUCCCCAGCUUGGCACCUGAGAUGGAUAUUCACACAUUCCCUUCUCUUAUGAACUCUUCAACACCCUCUCCCUCUUACCUUUUGACUGACUUCUUUAUUUCAUUGAGAGAACCAAAGAAACCAAAAGAGAACCACUGCACCUUUCCACCAUCAAAUAUCUCGUGCCUGCUUCUUCACCCAUACGCUAUUUUCAUAGCUAUAUAAAAUCAAACCUUCUAUGCACUAGAUCACAUCCUCUCUCACCAAGCCAGGACUUCACUUGUGACCAGUAUUUUUUUCUCCUUAUUGUCCAUUUCCCUCUAAAUAAUGGCUCAUUCCCAACAGCAUACAAAUAUACUGCAAUUUCAUCUCUGUUUGGAAAGAUUCCUCAUUGGCCUCAUGUCUCUCUCCAGGUAUGUUCUUUCUCUACUUCCCAUAGGGAAAAAUUCUAUGAAAUAGUCGUGUCUUUUCACUCCCCCAUACUCUCUUCUUUUUAACCCACUUUGGACAGGUUUUCCCUCCACUAUCACUCAGAAGCUGCUGUAAUCAGAGUCACCAUCAAACCCCAUCUUCUCAAGUCCAGGGCUAGUUCUCUACUCCAGUCUGCACUCUGCACUCCAUCCCUCCCUUUCUGCCCCCACCCCCCAUGUCUCAGUUCUGUUGGGUCCUUGUCUGACCUCAUUAACAGCUGCUUCUCAACUAAUUUCAGCUUAGCAUGCCCCUUAUCCCAGAAAGAGGCAAAUUUAAUAACAGUUUCUUAUUAAAAACAAAAAUAAUCUAAAAGCAGUCACACUCUAAGGAAUGCAUCACAUAAUGACAUUCCAGGUAUUAUUACAGAAAGAUUUGUUAUGUCUUCACUGCAGAGACAUAAAGAAAAUCGUGUCAUCUCUUAGGGCCUCUUUUAAUCCAUUAGUAAAAUGAGCAUGUUAGAGUCAGAAAAAGUGUAAGAUAGUUCAUUUAAGUGUGAAAAAGUCUAAGUAUCCCUGAGUAUGGGACGUAUUAUUAGUCAGUGGCUAAAGCCAGAACCAGUAAUGUGUAAAGAUUAAAGAACUGGUCAGAUGUCAAUGAUGAAAACAUAGUAGCCAUCAAUCUCAAUUUAUGUCAGGACCCUGGAAAGCAUGAUCCAGUCACAGAACUGCAAUGGAACAUGCACCCUCCUUACUUCUCAGAGCAUGACAUUUAUUUGAUAGGAAACAAGAGCUGUCAUUUUAUACUUAUAAAUAAGGCAUAUAAUUCUGGGAUCCAGGCAAGUAGGAGGAAGGAAAAGGAGAGCUCAAGAAGAAGGCUGGGGUGCGCAGGGGAGACAUCUCAGGAGGGAUGAAAACUAGGAAGGUCCACUUUUCCCAAAAACACCAUCUACCUCAUGAUGUUAGCACCCACCCACUUUCUGGCUUCUACAGCACAACUGAGAAAAUCACAGCAUUAACAUGUAUACACUACUGUGUAUAAACUAGAGAAUCAACAGAGACGUACUGUGUACCACGGGAACAAUAUUUUGUAAUGAUCUAUAAGGAAAAAGGAUCCGAAGAAGAAUGCAUAUAAUGGAGUCACUUUGCUGUACAUCUACAUCUAACACAGCAUCGUAAAUUAACUAACUUCCAUAAAAAGGUCACAUGUAUCUUUAUAUAAUAUGUGGUGAUCAGCAUGCAAGAGGUCUUAGAUAAGGCAAGGAAAAAGUUACUAAUCUUCUCAUAAUGCCAAAUAUGCCUUAUUCUAUUCCCUUUAGCAUUUCAGAGCAGGGAGGGAUUUUAAGGAUCACAGUCUAAACAUCAACUUUAGAGAUGAUGACACAAAAGACCAACAUAUCAGAAAUAGGAAAAACAAAGGCUCUUGAUCUAGAUUUGAAUUCUCUAGUUUUCGCUCAAGCAAUAAAAGAAAUAAAAAUUGUAAGUAAUGACUAUUUUUAUGGAUGCAUAGCUAAAAUAGUAUUAGUAGAUAUCUCCAGGUAAAGAAAAAUGGAUGAUAUUUAUUUUCUUAAAAGUUUAGAGUAUUAUUAUAAUUAGAAAAGAGGGAGUUCCCGUCGUGGCGCAGUGGUUAACGAAUCCGACUAGGAACCAUGAGGUUGUGGGUCGGUCCCUGCCCUUGCUCAGUGGGUUGACGAUCCGACGUUGCCCUGAGCUGUGGUGUAGGUUGCAGACGCGGCUCGGAUCCCGCGUUGCUGUGGCUCUGGCGUAGGCUGGUGGCUAUGGCUCCGAUUCGACCCCUAGCCUGAGAACCUCCAUAUGCCACAGGGGCAGCCCAAGAAAU